Molecule: ribosomal RNA, 510 nt
Filed under: uncultured bacterium
Lineage: Bacteria
Description: partial 16S ribosomal RNA
Rfam family: Bacterial small subunit ribosomal RNA
Source: RNAcentral
GACGAACGCUGGCGGCGUGCUUAACACAUGCAAGUCGAACGAAGAGCGACGGAAGCUUGCUUCUAUCAAUCUUAGUGGCGAACGGGUGAGUAACGCGUAAUCAACCUGCCCUUCAGAGGGGGACAACAGUUGGAAACGACUGCUAAUACCGCAUACGAUCUAACCUCGGCAUCGAGGAUAGAUGAAAGGUGGCCUCUACAUGUAAGCUAUCACUGAAGGAGGGGACUGCGUCUGAUUAGCUAGUUGGAGGGGUAACGGCCCACCAAGGCGAUGAUCAGUAGCCGGUCUGAGAGGAUGAACGGCCACAUUGGGACUGAGACACGCCCCAGACUCCUACGGGAGGCAGCAGUGGGGAAUCUUCCGCAAUGGACGAAAGUCUGACGGAGCAACGCCGCGUGAGUGAUGACGGCCUUCGGGUUGUAAAGCUCUGUUAAUCGGGACGAAAGGCCUUCUUGCGAAUAGUGAGAAGGAUUGACGGUACCGGAAUAGAAAGCCACGGCUAACUACGUG